GUCCAGCUUUACGUCCCGAGGUGAUAGCAUCCUGCUCCUCGGCUGGUACUCGCUUGAAUUAGGGCGUAGUCCCUUUGUUCCCCGCCGGUAAAAUGUAGAAUGGUCGCUGUGAAGAUCUGAAUGUGUGGUGAGUGCUCUGAGAGGAUUUUUUCCACAUAGUGUUGGAUUUGUUAUGGAAAAUCGAAGCCUCUUGAAGAGUCAAACACGCAGUUCUACAACCCGGCAUUGUUGCCCAUUGUGUAGAAGUCUUUGUUUGUUCCUGUCCCUAUGCAUUUUCCAGUUGAUUGCCCUGAAAAGUUCCAAUUUCCCAGAAGAGCCCCCUUUGUGAUUUGUGUAUGGAAUGUCUACCCCACACCCCACCCUCCAAUGAUUGCCCUGAAAUUGAAGAAAGAAGCCAUGUCUUCCCCCUGCCCCCUGUUUGUUGAUGAACUCCCACCCUGUAGUUUGUGACUGUGACGAAGAGUUUUUUUUGUUUUUAAGGUAUGAUACGUUUUUUAAUUUUACUAAAUUUCAAGUGGAUAAAUUUCUGGUAAAUAAUUGUAUAAAGAAAUUUGCUUUCAUAAUGGUAAAAAAAGGCAGUGACUUAUGACAUUUGACAGCUACGUCAAAUCUUGUGUUGAAAUAAAUAGGUCAAAUUUUAUUUGACAUAUACUGCCCAACAAAUUUAAUUUUAAUUGUUUUGUUUGUAAUCAUUGUUUUUGUAGUAAAAUUUUGAAUAAACCUGGUAAGAGUUUAAAGUUUUGAAUAAACGUUUUGUAAGUGUA
Long non-coding RNA from Diabrotica virgifera virgifera (western corn rootworm), 764 nucleotides. RefSeq lists it as uncharacterized. The transcript has 2 exons. NCBI's taxonomy places the organism in Eukaryota, Metazoa, Arthropoda, Insecta, Coleoptera, Chrysomelidae. The record is from RefSeq and is a predicted model, not a curated record.